Molecule: ribosomal RNA, 743 nt
Filed under: uncultured Hyphomicrobiales bacterium
Lineage: Bacteria; Pseudomonadati; Pseudomonadota; Alphaproteobacteria; Hyphomicrobiales
Description: bacterial SSU rRNA
Rfam family: Bacterial small subunit ribosomal RNA
Source: RNAcentral
AGAGUUUGAUCCUGGCUCAGGAUGAACGCUGGCGGUCUGCUUAACACAUGCAAGUCGAACGGAAUCCGCAAGGAUUUAGUGGCGGACGGGUGAGUAACGCGUGAGAAUCUGCCUUCAGGACGGAGACAACAGUUGGAAACGACUGCUAAGCCCCGAUGAACCGAAAGGGAAAAUAUUUAUAGCCUGAAGAUGAGCUCGCGUCCGAUUAGCUAGUUGGGGGGGUAAAGGCCCACCAAAGCGACGAUCGGUAGCUGGUCUGAGAGGACGAUCAGCCACACUGGGACUGAGACACGGCCCAAACUCCUACGGGAGGCAGCAGUGGGGAAUAUUGGACAAUGGGCGCAAGCCUGAUCCAGCCAUGCCGCGUGAGUGAUGAAGGCCUUAGGGUUGUAAAGCUCUUUCGGCGGGGACGAUAAUGACGGUACCCGCAGAAGAAGCCCCGGCUAACUUCGUGCCAGCAGCCGCGGUAAUACGAAGGGGGCUAGCGUUGUUCGGAAUCACUGGGCGUAAAGGGCGCGUAGGCGGCUUUGUAAGUCGGGGGUGAAAGCCUGUGGCUCAACCACAGAAUUGCCUUCGAUACUGCAUGGCUUGAGACCGGAAGAGGUAAGUGGAACUGCGAGUGUAGAGGUGAAAUUCGUAGAUAUUCGCAAGAACACCAGUGGCGAAGGCGGCUUACUGGUCCGGUUCUGACGCUGAGGCGCGAAAGCGUGGGGAGCAAACAGGAUUAGAUACCCCGGUAGUCC